GUUUAUUUGAUAGUACCUUACUACUUGGAUAACCGUGGUAAUUCUAGAGCUAAUACAUGCUAAAAACCCCGACUUCGGGAGGGGUGUAUUUAUUAGAUAAAAAACCAAUGCCCUUCGGGGCUCCUUGGUGAUUCAUAAUAACUUCUCAGAUCGCAUGGCCUUGCGCCGGCGACGGUUCAUUCAAAUUUCUGCCCUAUCAACUUUCGAUGGUAAGGUAUUGGCUUACCAUGGUUUCAACGGGUAACGGGGAAUUAGGGUUCGAUUCCGGAGAGGGAGCCUGAGAAACGGCUACCACAUCCAAGGAAGGCAGCAGGCGCGCAAAUUACCCAAUCCCGACACGGGGAGGUAGUGACAAUAAAUACUGAUACAGGGCUCUUUAGGGUCUUGUAAUUGGAAUGAGUACAAUUUAAACCUCUUAACGAGGAACAAUUGGAGGGCAAGUCUGGUGCCAGCAGCCGCGGUAAUUCCAGCUCCAAUAGCGUAUAUUAAAGUUGUUGCAGUUAAAAAGCUCGUAGUUGAACCUUUGGCCUGGCUGGCGGGUCCGCCUCACCGCGUGCACUCGUCCGGCCGGGCCUUUUCUUCUGGAGAACCGCAUGCCCUUCACUGGGUGUGUUGGGGACCAGGACUUUUACUUUGAAAAAAUUAGAGUGUUCAAAGCAGGCCUUUGCUCGAAUACGUUAGCAUGGAAUAAUAGAAUAGGACGUGCGGUCCUAUUUUGUUGGUUUCUAGGACCGCCGUAAUGAUUAAUAGGGACAGUCGGGGGCAUCAGUAUUCAAUUGUCAGAGGUGAAAUUCUUGGAUUUAUUGAAGACUAACUACUGCGAAAGCAUUUGCCAAGGAUGUUUUCAUUAAUCAGUGAACGAAAGUUAGGGGAUCGAAGACGAUCAGAUACCGUCGUAGUCUUAACCAUAAACUAUGCCGACUAGGGAUCGGGCGGUGUUAUUAUUUUGACUCGCUCGGCACCUUACGAGAAAUCAAAGUGU
Molecule: ribosomal RNA, 982 nt
Filed under: Periconia chimonanthi
Lineage: Eukaryota; Fungi; Ascomycota; Dothideomycetes; Pleosporales; Periconiaceae
Description: SSU rRNA
Rfam family: Eukaryotic small subunit ribosomal RNA
Source: RNAcentral